AUUGAACGCUGGCGGCAGGCCUAACACAUGCAAGUCGGGCGGAUGAAGGGAGCUUGCUCCUGGAUUCAGCGGCGGACGGGUGAGUAAUGCCUAGGAAUCUGCCUGGUAGUGGGGGAUAACGUCCGGAAACGGGCGCUAAUACCGCAUACGUCCUGAGGGAGAAAGUGGGGGAUCUUCGGACCUCACGCUAUCAGAUGAGCCUAGGUCGGAUUAGCUAGUUGGUGGGGUAAAGGCCUACCAAGGCGACGAUCCGUAACUGGUCUGAGAGGAUGAUCAGUCACACUGGAACUGAGACACGGUCCAGACUCCUACGGGAGGCAGCAGUGGGGAAUAUUGGACAAUGGGCGAAAGCCUGAUCCAGCCAUGCCGCGUGUGCGAAGAAGGUCUUCGGAUUGUAAAGCACUUUAAGUUGGGAGGAAGGGCAGUAAGUUGAUACCUUGCUGUUUUGACGUUACCAACAGAAUAAGCACCGGCUAACUUCGUG
Molecule: ribosomal RNA, 484 nt
Filed under: uncultured bacterium
Lineage: Bacteria
Description: partial 16S ribosomal RNA
Rfam family: Bacterial small subunit ribosomal RNA
Source: RNAcentral